UUUUUUUUUUUUUUUAUUGGUGAUUAAUUGCUCGGUCUAAGGUCAGAGCGCUUCGCAGUGUAAAUGCGUUACGAACACCAUAAGACUUCACACACCAAUUAUUCACUCUAUUCUAGUGGUUUAUUUAACCGUGCAAUGGUUGAGAUCCCUAAAGAUUUAUGCACUAGUACCCAUGUAGCGAGUGUUGGGUCAACAAUCCCAAACCACGAAGGGCUUUAGGUUGUUAGGCACAAAGUCCCCUCAGACUUAAUUACUCGAGUACUAAUGAGCUCAACCUAGUUAAUUCUACCACUUAUUUUU
Molecule: long non-coding RNA, 300 nt
Filed under: Daucus carota (carrot)
Lineage: Eukaryota; Viridiplantae; Streptophyta; Magnoliopsida; Apiales; Apiaceae
Description: long non-coding RNA (DCAR_LNC006716)
Source: RNAcentral